CCUACGGGAGGCAGCAGUCGAGAAUCAUUCACAAUGGGGGAAACCCUGAUGGUGCGACGCCGCGUGGGGGAAUGAAGGUCUUCGGAUUGUAAACCCCUGUCAUGUGGGAGCAAAUUAAAAAGAUAGUACCACAAGAGGAAGAGACGGCUAACUCUGUGCCAGCAGCCGCGGUAAUACAGAGGUCUCAAGCGUUGUUCGGAAUCACUGGGCGUAAGGCGUGCGUAGGCUGUUUCGUAAGUCGUGUGUGAAAGGCGCGGGCUCAACCCGCGGACGGCACAUGAUACUGCGAGACUAGAGUAAUGUAGGGGGAACCGGAAUUCUCGGUGUAGCAGUGAAAUGCGUAGAUAUCGAGAGGAACACUCGUGGCGAAGGCGGGUUCCUGGACAUUAACUGACGCUGAGGCACGAAGGCCAGGGGAGCGAAAGGGAUUAGAUACCCCAGUAGUC
This 446-nucleotide ribosomal RNA is filed under the name uncultured bacterium. Its description in RNAcentral is "partial 16S ribosomal RNA". It matches the Rfam family "Bacterial small subunit ribosomal RNA", at positions 338 to 795 of the family's 1533-position model. The record is from RNAcentral.